CGCAGGCCUGACGGAGCAAUACCGCGUGAGGGACGAAGGUUCUUGGAUUGUAAACCUCUUUUCUCAGGGAAGAACACAAUGACGGUACCUGAGGAAUAAGCAUCGGCUUACUCUGUGCCAGCAGCCGCGGUAAUACAGAGGAUGCAAGCGUUAUCCGGAAUUAUUGGGCGUAAAGCGUCCGCAGGUGGCUAAAUAAGUCAGUUGUCAAAGCGCAAGGCUUAACUUUGUAAAGGCAAUUGAAACUGUGUAGCUAGAGUGUGGUAGGGGUAGCGGGAACUCCUAGUGUAGCGGUGAAAUGCGUAGAUAUUAGGAAGUACACCAGCGGCGAAAGCGCGCUACUGGGCCAUAACUGACACUGAGGGACGAAAGCUAGGGGAGCGAAAGGGAUUAGAUACCCCUGUAGUCCUAGCCGUAAACGAUGAACACUAGGUGUUGCGCGUAUCGACCCGUGCAGUGCCGUAGCCAACGCGUUAAGUGUUCCGCCUGGGGAGUACGCACGCAAGUGUGAAACUCAAAGGAAUUGACGGGGGCCCGCACAAGCGGUGGAGUAUGUGGUUUAAUUCGAUGCAACGCGAAGAACCUUACCAGGGUUUGACAUGUCGCGAAUCCUCUUGAAAGGGAGGAGUGCCUUCGGGAGCGCGAACACAGGUGGUGCAUGGCUGUCGUCAGCUCGUGUCGUGAGAUGUUGGGUUAAGUCCCGCAACGAGCGCAACCCACGUUUUUAGUUGCCAUCAUUAAGUUGGGCACUCUAGAGAGACUGCCGGUGACAAACCGGAGGAAGGUGUGGAUGACAUCAAGUCAGCAUGCCCCUUACGUCCUGGGCUACACACGUACUACAAUGCUACGGACAGAGAGUUGCAAGCCCGCGAGGUCAAGCUAAUCUCAUAAACCGUGGCUCAGUUCAGAUUGCAGGCUGCAACUCGCCUGCAUGAAGGCGGAAUCGCUAGUAAUCGCAGGUCAGCAUACUGCGGUGAAUACGUUCCCGGGCCUUGUACACACCGCCCGUCACACCAUGGGAGUUGGUUUUGCCCGAAGUCGUUACUCCAACCGUUCGCGGAGGGGGAUGCCGAAGGCAGGGCUGAUGACUGGGGUGAA
This 1095-nucleotide ribosomal RNA is filed under the name Geitleribactron purpureum Tovel-1. RNAcentral describes it as "bacterial SSU rRNA". It matches the Rfam family "Bacterial small subunit ribosomal RNA", at positions 376 to 1484 of the family's 1533-position model. Lineage: Bacteria; Bacillati; Cyanobacteriota; Cyanophyceae; Leptolyngbyales; Trichocoleusaceae. The record is from RNAcentral.